Molecule: long non-coding RNA, 2011 nt
Filed under: Sus scrofa (pig)
Lineage: Eukaryota; Metazoa; Chordata; Mammalia; Artiodactyla; Suidae
Description: lncRNA (ENSSSCG00060002906.1)
Source: RNAcentral
CAGGCCUUUAUGAGGGAGGAGUGACUGCUGUUUGCAGACUUUGAGAGAAGAAACUAGGCGUGCAUGGUCUGGCACGUUCUGAUUCCCUUUGGGAUCUGUUUGCCUCCAGAGAACAUAUCAUGGUCUGCGCCGAGGCGUCUGGGAAUACGACUGGGGGCUUAAGUCAUGGUAGUGGUCUGCUUAAUCAAGUGUUCAUUUGUUUUUAAAAAAACAACCUAGCUAAUCAUCGGAUUUGUGCUCUUGUGGCUUGCUUUAAAGGUUGCAUAAUUGACUUUAAACUGGCAUGAUUUAGGUGAGUGGCUUUAAGACUUGGGAUUUUGUGAGUGCAAGCUAGUUAUUUUGACCUUGACAGGUCAUCACUGCUUCAAGUAGCUUUAUCCUCAGGCAAUUGACUGUGUCUCAGCAAAAAUGGGCCACAAUGGCCUUGGCAGAUGUUGGCUGCUUGGGCUCUAGAAUGCAAACUGCUGUAGCUUGACUCUAAACUGUAUUCUGUCGUGGCACUGCAAAAGGGACAAAAAAGUGGAUUUAUUAUUUUGCACAUUGAUAGGGAGAAAAAUGCUUGCUGCUUAUGCUCUGUUUUUUUCAGGCAGGUCUUCAGAUUGGGACUUUUUUUUUUUUUUUUUUGCUUUUUAGGGCUGUACGCAUGGCAUAUGGAAAUUCCCAGGGGUUGAAUUGGAGUGGCAGCUGCCAGCUUACGCCACGACCACAGCAACUUGGGAUCUGAGCCAUGUCUGUGACCUACACCAAGGGCAAGGAUCGAACCCACGUCCUCAUGGAUCCUUGUCGGAUUCAUUUCCCCUGCACCACAACGGGAACUCCCACAUUGGGACUUGGAACAGCGGAAGCUGUUGCGUUCCAAGUGAACUACACUAGUGAAUUUCAAACUUUAAUGCAUUAAUGCCCAGCCUGAACAGACAGUGCUAGAUCAGCUGCCUGAAAUGCCAUCCUUUUUCUGUUGCUUCUAAAGCCGCAUUCGUGGCAAAGUAAGAACUGGUAUCUUUGAUGAGCGCUCCUUACCCACAUGAAUUCGCAGGUGCACCUUCCACUGUUGUCACCACAGUGUUUUAACGUGGCUGUGGCUUUGUUCGGCAGGAAAUAGAUUUGUCAAGACAGGAUGCUUAUGAGAGAUGCAGGUGGGCAGGCAAGGAGGCUCUGCCUAACCUUAGUUUUAAAUUCCAGAGGCCCAGACUCGGAUUUUAUUUGUAUUAGUUUGGUCAGUUUUGGUAAUUAUGAAAAACUAAAAUCAUGUAUUUCCUUACUGUAAAGGGAAUAGUCCUUCUUGGUCGGAACUAGAAAACAACCCAAAGAGACUGCAAAACUAAAGGUUAUGACAGUAGCUGAGGAGGCCUGUACCUGGAACAACAUAUUUCUUGGAAUCCCAUUUCCAGAGAAAUCAAGAAGUGGUUUGGAAAAAUAGGUUGCAGCCAUACACUCCAAAAGGAAUGAGAGAAGAAUAAAAAUGAAGGAAAGCACUUAAGUACACGUGAUGAAGAUAAAGCAUUGUUUCAGAUUGUAGGUGAUAUUCUAGGCAGAUGUGAAGAAGAAAAAAGCAUUAUAUCAUCAAGGCUACAAUAAAGAGAUUUUUUAAAAAAAGAAAAUGCUCUAGAUUUCAUUUCUUUUAAAGAGAACAUGUAAAAUAGAGAAAUUAUUUCUGUUAUUCACAGCGACAAACUAGGAUCCAGUAAUUUCAUAGAGAAGUUAUAGAGGAACUAAAAGAGGAAGAGAAGCAAGAUCUUAGAGAGCAGGUUGAAGUGCUGCACAGAGUGGGAUUCAGGGAGUUCCCAUGUGGCACAGUGGAAACAAAUUUGACUAGUGUCCAUGAGGAUGCAGGUUCGAUCCUUGAUCAUCUGGCUGUUGCCAUGAGCUGUGGUGUAGGUAGCAGAAGUCGCUCAGAUCCCACAUUACUGUGGCUGUGGUAUAGACCAGCAGCUGCAACUCCAAUUCGACCCCUAGCCUGGGAACUUCCACAUGCUGUGGGUGAGGCCCUAAAAAGCCAAAAAAAAAAAAAAAA